AGUCUGNAACUCGGCUGCAUGAAGCUGGAAUCGCUAGUAAUCGCGAAUCAGAAUGUCGCGGUGAAUACGUUCCCGGGUCUUGUACACACCGCCCGUCACACCAUGGGAGUUGGAAAUGCCCGAAGUCAGUGACCUAACCGCAAGGAGGGAGCUGCCGAAGGCAGGUCUGAUAACUGGGGUGAAGUCGUAACAAGGUAAC
Molecule: ribosomal RNA, 199 nt
Filed under: uncultured bacterium
Lineage: Bacteria
Description: partial 16S ribosomal RNA
Rfam family: Bacterial small subunit ribosomal RNA
Source: RNAcentral